AACGCUAGCUACAGGCUUAACACAUGCAAGUCGAGGGGUCUUUCUGGAGCUUGCUUUAGAAAGACGACCGGCGCACGGGUGAGUAACGCGUAUCCAACCUGCCCUUCAUAUUGGGAUAGCCUUCCGAAAGGGAGAUUAAUACCGAAUAACAUGAGAGAGUUGCCUGAUUUUCUCAUGAAAGCUCCGGCGAUGAAGGAUGGGGAUGCGUUCCAUUAGGUAGUAGGCGGGGUAACGGCCCACCUAGCCGACGAUGGAUAGGGGUUCUGAGAGGAAGGUCCCCCACACUGGAACUGAGACACGGUCCAGACUCCUACGGGAGGCAGCAGUGAGGAAUAUUGGUCAAUGGGCGCAAGCCUGAACCAGCCAAGUAGCGUGAAGGAUGACUGCCCUAUGGGUUGUAAACUUCUUUUAUACGGGAACAAAUGUUGGUACGCGUACCGAUUUGCGUGUACCGUAUGAAUAAGCAUCGGCUAACUCCGUGCCAGCAGCCGCGGUAAUACGGAGGAUGCGAGCGUUAUCCGGAUUUAUUGGGUUUAAAGGGAGCGUAGGUGGUCUGUUAAGCCAGCUGUGAAAUACUGUAGCUCAACUACAGCCGUGCAGUUGGAACUGGCAGACUUGAGUACACUAGAGGAAGGUGGAAUUCGUGGUGUAGCGGUGAAAUGUUUAGAUAUCACGAAGAACUCCGAUUGCGAAGGCAGCCUUCUGGAGUGCAACUGACACUGAGGCUCGAAAGUGUGGGUAUCGAACAGGAUUAGAUACCCUGGUAGUCCACACAGUAAACGAUGAAUGCUGGUUCUUGGCGAUAUACAGUCAGGAACUGAGGGAAACCAUUAAGCAUUCCACCUGGGGAGUACGCCGGCAACGGUGAAACUCAAAGGAAUUGACGGGGGCCCGCGCAAGCGGAGGAACAUGUGGUUUAAUUCGAUGAUACGCGAGGAACCUUACCCGGGCUUGAAUUGCAGCUGCAUAGGAUAGAGAUAUCCUUUCCCUUCGGGGCUGCUGUGAAGGUGCUGCAUGGUUGUCGUCAGCUCGUGCCGUGAGGUGUCGGCUUAAGUGC
Molecule: ribosomal RNA, 1057 nt
Filed under: uncultured Bacteroidales bacterium
Lineage: Bacteria; Pseudomonadati; Bacteroidota; Bacteroidia; Bacteroidales
Description: bacterial SSU rRNA
Rfam family: Bacterial small subunit ribosomal RNA
Source: RNAcentral